RNA transcript from Theobroma umbraticum, 1932 nucleotides. It is a transcript of the gene named Nucleotidylyl transferase superfamily protein, with no coding region annotated. The record is from RefSeq and is a predicted model, not a curated record. NCBI's taxonomy places the organism in Eukaryota, Viridiplantae, Streptophyta, Magnoliopsida, Malvales, Malvaceae.
GAAAAUAAACCUAUACAGGCUAAAAGAAACGGAACGAGGCGCGAGUACGCGGCGGACCAAUCUCCUUGCAUUGCCUUACUCGUUUUUGCUGGAUAAAUCUUCCCAAACACAAAUUUGAAAAACCCCCAGAAAACGAAGGGAGUGGAAAAAAUGGGGCGCGCAGUUCUCUCGCAAUUUCUCAUGCUUUCCAAUUCCACUCCUCGCCUCUCAUCUUCACUCAGGUCCUGUGGUGGACUUCGAAGUAAAUACUUGAAAAGACCUGGAUCAGUCUGUCAUAAUCGUGCUACAAACGGAGACCAUGGCGCUGGUUUCCGUUGCUGCUGCAGUGUCUCGCUCUCGCAGCCGGCCACUCCAGAGACUUCUUCGAGCUCGGUCAAGAAGAGAAUAGUGUCGGGAGUCCAGCCAACAGGAGCUAUCCACCUUGGGAAUUAUCUUGGAGCCAUAAAGCAUUGGAUUGCCCUUCAGAACUCCUAUGACACUCUCUUUUUCAUUGUGGACCUCCAUGCGAUUACGUUACCAUAUGAUACACAACAAUUAUCUAAGGCAACAAGGAAUACAGCAGCUAUUUAUUUGGCAUGUGGUGUAGACACCACAAAGGCUUCUGUUUUUGUGCAGUCACAUGUCCGUGCCCAUGUAGAAUUGAUGUGGCUACUGAGUUCUGCCACACCAAUUGGUUGGCUAAACAGAAUGAUUCAGUUUAAAGAGAAAUCUCGCAAGGCGGGAGAUGAAAAUGUUGGGGUUGCUCUAUUGACCUAUCCGGUUCUGAUGGCUUCUGAUAUUCUCUUGUAUCAGUCUGACUUUGUCCCAGUUGGUGAAGAUCAGAAGCAGCAUUUGGAGUUGACACGUGAGUUGGCUGAGCGUGUUAACUAUUUAUAUGGAGGAAGGAAGUGGAAAAAGCUGGGAGGGCGUGGUGGUGCUAUUUUUAAGGUUCCUGAGCCCCUAAUACCACCAGCUGGAGCACGAGUUAUGUCCCUCAGUGAUGGUCUUUCAAAGAUGUCCAAGUCUGCACCUUCUGAUCAGUCUCGAAUCAAUCUUCUUGACCCUAAAGAUGUGAUAGCAAACAAGAUAAAGCGUUGCAAGACUGACUCUUUCCCAGGCCUGGAAUUUGACAACCCUGAACGUCCUGAGUGCAACAAUCUUCUUUCAAUAUAUCAGAUAAUUUCAAGCAAGACGAAAGAGGAAGUUGCACAAGAAUGUCAAGAUAUGAAAUGGGGUUCAUUUAAAACCCUCCUAACAGAUGCAUUGGUUGAUCAUCUGCAUCCUAUCCAGGUUCUUAGCACCAUACACAGGGUGGUUUUUUGUUUUUAUAUUAUAUAAAGAAACUGGGUUAUGGUGCAUGAUAGGAACAUGUACAUGCUAUGCUGUUUUACAUAUAAUUUGUCUUUGUUUCACUUGUGCAUGUUAUUUUCCCAGUGGACUUUAGGUGUUUAUUUUUGUGUUAAUACUUAAUUCUAGAAAUAUAUGUGAACUUAAGAUUUAUCAUAUUAAAUGCUGGCUUGCAAAUAAUUCUAACCAUAACAGUUCAUAUAUUCGUGCGGAGGAAAUGUACAUUUAUGGAUGCUUUCUGUUGACUAAUAAGUUUUGCUUCUAAUCAUGGUAAUUUAGUACUAAAAUCUUGUUGCUGAUGUACUUGAAAUCUAGUGAGUCCUGGCUAUAUCUUAUUCCAGCUGUGUGGUCUACCUAGAAAUCAACCAUUUCUGCAAAAUGAUUAUUGUUGUGAAGCUGCCUACAGGAGCCUAACAAACAUAAAUUCUAGUCAGGUCCAUGUUGCUGCUUCAGUGUUGAAACCCCAUUGGUGCCUAGAUGGUUCGGUAUGAGGACAUUAUUUCUGAUCCAGCAUAUUUGGAUGGAGUCUUGGCAGAAGGGGCUGAGAAAGCUGCAGCUAUAGCGGAUGCUACUCUCAAUAAUGUCUACCAGGCAAUGGGAUUCUUG